GCCAGGUGUGGUGGCUCAUGCCUGUAAUCCCAGUACUUUGGGAGGCCGAGGCAGGAGGAUCACUUGAGCCCAGGAACUCAGGACCAGCCUGGGCCACAUAGUGAGACCCUGUCUCUA
Unclassified non-coding RNA from Pongo abelii (Sumatran orangutan), 117 nucleotides. It matches the Rfam family "Metazoan signal recognition particle RNA". Rfam says of the family: The signal recognition particle (SRP) is a universally conserved ribonucleoprotein. It is involved in the co-translational targeting of proteins to membranes. The record is from Ensembl. NCBI's taxonomy places the organism in Eukaryota, Metazoa, Chordata, Mammalia, Primates, Hominidae.